AACCGACCAAGGAAGGGCGAGCGGCCCGAACGCGCCGGGUCAGCGACUGGGACG
RNAcentral lists this ribosomal RNA (54 nucleotides) under uncultured bacterium. RNAcentral describes it as "partial 16S ribosomal RNA". The record is from RNAcentral.